GAGUAACCUGCCCCUGACUUCGGGUUAAGACCGGGAAACUGGGUCUAAUACCGGAUACGACCUGUCCUCGCAUGAUUUGUGGGUGGAAAGUUUUUUCGGUUGGGGAUGGGCUCGCGGCCUAUCAGUUUGUUGGUGAGGUAAUGGCUCACCAAGACUACGACGGGUAGCCGGCCUGAGAGGGCGACCGGCCACACUGGGACUGAGACACGGCCCACACUCCCACGGGAGGCAGCAGUGGGGAAUAUUGCAUAAUGGGGGAAACCCUGAUGCAGCGACGCAGCGUGCGGGAUGACGGUCUUUGGGCCUUUUACCGCUUUCAGCAGGGAAUAAGCGAAAGUGACGGUACCUGCAAAAGAAGUACCGGCUAACUACGUGCCAGCAGCCGCGGUAAUACGUAGGGUACGAGCGUUGUCCUGAUUUAUUGGGCGUAAAGAGCUCGUAGGUGGUUGGUCCCGUCUUCUGUGGAAACGCUACGCUUAA
This 480-nucleotide ribosomal RNA is filed under the name Brevibacterium sanguinis. RNAcentral's name for it is "bacterial SSU rRNA". It matches the Rfam family "Bacterial small subunit ribosomal RNA", at positions 119 to 612 of the family's 1533-position model. The record is from RNAcentral. Lineage: Bacteria; Bacillati; Actinomycetota; Actinomycetes; Micrococcales; Brevibacteriaceae.